GAAAAACAAGACCUACUAAAGGAACAAGAAUUGAUGGAAGAUAAGAUGUCAUAAGAAUAUUGUCUUCGUCUUUGUUUGUUUUUUUUUUUUUUUUUUU
This 97-nucleotide non-coding RNA is filed under the name Prasinococcus capsulatus. Lineage: Eukaryota; Viridiplantae; Prasinodermophyta; Palmophyllophyceae; Prasinococcales; Prasinococcaceae. The record is from RNAcentral.